GAUCCUGGCUCGGGAUGAACGCUAGCUACAGGCUUAACACAUGCAAGUCGAGGGGAAACGACAGAGGAAGCUUGCUUCCUUUGGGCGUCGACCGGCGCACGGGUGAGUAACGCGUAUCCAACCUUCCCGCAAGUAAGGGAUAACCCGUAGAAAUGCGGCCUAAUACCUUAUGUUUUCCUUAGAGGGCAUCUGAUGAGGAACAAAGAUCCGUCGCUUGCGGAUGGGGAUGCGUCUGAUUAGUUAGUCGGCGGGGUUAACCGG
RNAcentral lists this ribosomal RNA (261 nucleotides) under uncultured bacterium. RNAcentral describes it as "partial 16S ribosomal RNA". It matches the Rfam family "Bacterial small subunit ribosomal RNA", at positions 15 to 267 of the family's 1533-position model. The record is from RNAcentral.